Long non-coding RNA from Oncorhynchus tshawytscha (Chinook salmon), 310 nucleotides. The record is from Ensembl. NCBI's taxonomy places the organism in Eukaryota, Metazoa, Chordata, Actinopteri, Salmoniformes, Salmonidae.
UAAACAAACUGAAAAUGUGCGUACUGCCCCCUGGAGGGUGUUGUCUGAACAGGUAUAAAGGAUGGUGAUUUACAGCCCCCUGGAGGGUGUUGUCUGAACAGGUAUAAAGGAUGGUGAUUUACUGCCCCCUGGAGGGUGUUGUCUGAACAGGUAUAAAGGAUGGUGAUUUACUGCCCCCUGGAGGGUGUUGUCUGAACAGGUAUAAAGGAUGGUGAUUUUCAGCCCCCUGGAGUUAUGGAAUGUUUCCUCACGAGUAUAAUUCAUUGGCUGAUCCUUCCUGGUGUGACCUGGAUGGAAUCAUGUGAUCCUU